AAGGCAUGGAGAACUCCAAGGAGUUUGCUGACAAGUUGUUCGGGAUAUGUCGAGGCAGAGGAACAUUGAGCCGGAGAUUACUGAUCACAUCUUGGACUAAGCUAUGUUCAGUUUAAGUCAAUCUAACAUACUGAUGAAAAUUUUCCUUUGGGUGUCUCACAUUAACAGGUGGAACAUGAACAUUGAUGGGAUGCUCACAGAAGAUGAGGUCAAGAAGGUGGCUACGCAAAUGAUCAAAAAGAGAAGACUACCGCUGGGCCUUUUGAUCGACCACGUGAUUCAAAAAGCUCUUUAGUGCAGUUUGCAACAA
Long non-coding RNA from Triticum aestivum (bread wheat), 310 nucleotides. RefSeq lists it as uncharacterized. NCBI's taxonomy places the organism in Eukaryota, Viridiplantae, Streptophyta, Magnoliopsida, Poales, Poaceae. The transcript has 2 exons. The record is from RefSeq and is a predicted model, not a curated record.